GAUGAACGCUGGCGGCGUGCCUAAUACAUGCCAGUCGAGCGAACAGACGAGGAGCUUGCUCCUCUGACGUUAGCGGCGGACGGGUGAGUAACACGUGGAUAACCUACCUAUAAGACUGGGAUAACUUCGGGAAACCGGAGCUAAUACCGGAUAAUAUAUUGAACCGCAUGGUUCAAUAGUGAAAGACGGUUUUGCUGUCACUUAUAGAUGGAUCCGCGCCGCAUUAGCUAGUUGGUAAGGUAACGGCUUACCAAGGCAACGAUGCGUAGCCGACCUGAGAGGGUGAUCGGCCACACUGGAACUGAGACACGGUCCAGACUCCUACGGGAGGCAGCAGUAGGAAAUCUUCCGCAAUGGGCGAAAGCCAGACGGAGCAACGCAGCGUGAGUGAUGAAGGUCUUCGGAUCGUAAAAAUCUGUUAUUAGGGAAGAACAAAUGUGUAAGUAACUAUGCACGUCUAGACAGUACCUAAUCAGAAAGACACGGCUAACUACGUG
This 497-nucleotide ribosomal RNA is filed under the name uncultured bacterium. Its description in RNAcentral is "partial 16S ribosomal RNA". It matches the Rfam family "Bacterial small subunit ribosomal RNA", at positions 28 to 507 of the family's 1533-position model. The record is from RNAcentral.